Molecule: ribosomal RNA, 460 nt
Filed under: uncultured bacterium
Lineage: Bacteria
Description: partial 16S ribosomal RNA
Rfam family: Bacterial small subunit ribosomal RNA
Source: RNAcentral
CCUACGGGAGGCAGCAGUGAGGAAUAUUGGUCAAUGGACGAGAGUCUGACCCAGCCAAGUAGCGUGAAGGAUGACUGCCCUAUGGGUUGUAAACUUCUUUUAUAUGGGAAUAAAAUGUUCCACGUGUGGGAUUUUGUAUGUACCAUAUGAAUAAGGAUCGGCUAACUCCGUGCCAGCAGCCGCGGUAAUACGGAGGAUCCGAGCGUUAUCCGGAUUUAUUGGGUUUAACGGGAGCGUAGGUGGAUUGUUAAGUCAGUUGUGAAAGUUUGCGGCUCAACCGUAAAAUUGCAGUUGAAACUGGCAGUCUUGAGUACAGUAGAGGUGGGCGGAAUUCGUGGUGUAGCAGUGAAAUGCUUAGAUAUCACGAAGAACUCCGAUGGCGAAGGCAGCUCACUGGACUGCAACUGACACUGAGGCGCGAAAGUGUGGGUAUCAAACAGGAUUAGAUACCCGGGUAGUC